Molecule: ribosomal RNA, 448 nt
Filed under: uncultured bacterium
Lineage: Bacteria
Description: bacterial SSU rRNA
Rfam family: Bacterial small subunit ribosomal RNA
Source: RNAcentral
CCCAGACUCCUACGGGAGGCAGCAGUGGGGAAUAUUGCACAAUGGGGGAAACCCUGAUGCAGCGACGCCGCGUGAGUGAAGAAGUAUUUCGGUAUGUAAAGCUCUAUCAGCAGGGAAGAAAAAAGACGGUACCUGACUAAGAAGCCCCGGCUAACUACGUGCCAGCAGCCGCGGUAAUACGUAGGGGGCAAGCGUUAUCCGGAUUUACUGGGUGUAAAGGGAGCGUAGACGGCAAUACAAGUCGGAAGUGAAAUACCCGGGCUCAACCUGGGAACUGCUUUGGAAACUGUAUGGCUGGAGUGCUGGAGAGGUAAGCGGAAUUCCUAGUGUAGCGGUGAAAUGCGUAGAUAUUAGGAGGAACACCAGUGGCGAAGGCGGCUUACUGGACAGUAACUGGCGUUGAGGCUCGAAAGCGUGGGGAGCAAACAGGAUUAGAUACCCCCGUAUC